RNAcentral lists this small nucleolar RNA (121 nucleotides) under Otolemur garnettii (small-eared galago). RNAcentral describes it as "Small nucleolar RNA SNORA75 (ENSOGAG00000018297.1)". The record is from RNAcentral. Lineage: Eukaryota; Metazoa; Chordata; Mammalia; Primates; Galagidae.
CACUUUUCAGCAGAACAUACAUGGCACUGGAUUCACAUGAGAAGAAGAGAGAAUUUACAGAACUACCAUUAUUUUACCUUCUGUCUCUACAGUGGUAUCUUGGCUGCUCUGUGAGACAUUC